UUAGUGAAGCAUCAAGCAAAGCUCCCAAUCAUUUAAUUAAACAAGCACUAAAAAUGAAGAAUCUCUGCUGACUGCUUUAUAACAAGGAGGUUUGUAUCUAAGGAUUUCUACUGGGACCUAAAUAGCUAGGUGGGAGGGAGACCAUCGAAGUGAAGUUUCUGUGAAGCUUGAUAUUUAGCUAUAAACAAGCAUGGCAUAUGUAUAGUAUGUCCAGUGAUUGGUUGUUAUAUAUAAGAGUUGCCAAGGAGAUGGAUGAUGUACUAAAUGUCAGUAAAUGAACUUUCUGUCUUAAUUCUAUGAUAGGUUUACUAAAUGAGGUCCAAGUUCGUGCUGGUGGGGGGCGUCUUACUAGAGGACAAGAGACUUGUUGAUACUUAUGAAUAAAAGGAAUGUGCUAACGCAUCAAUCACCAUCAAACAUUUACGUAGAUUUCACUUUAUCCCUCUGUUGCUUCUCUACUUUGUAAUAUCUGUUGCUCGCCAGAUUCUCUAUUUCAUACUUUUCAUUUCUUACGUCUGCACAUAGAGACAAAUUGAUGCCACUGCUCAUGGGGCCUUGCAGAUUUUUCAGAUUGAUGAGCGCCAAAGUCAUGUAGGGACUGGGUGAAAGAAGGGUUUGAAAUUUGAAAUACAUUGUUGACCAUUGAGCUUAUUCAGCAUUUGAGGAGUUCAAUUUUCCUGAUCAGGUUUCUGUUCUUGUGCCCAACUCUUGAUGUUGGCAUUUUAAAUUAUCACCUCAAUAUGCUAUCCUUUUGGUAUCUCUUUUGUUUCAGUCUUAUAUUACUGAACAGUAAUCUUUCCUUUACCAAGUAGACAGAUACCUUUCUUCCUUUGCUAUGAAGAAGUGAUGUUUGCUUUACGUGAGACUUUAAAGUACAUACAACAUACUCCGCACACACAUAAGGUUCUCAGUUAUAAUCCUUCUUUCAUUGGUGGCCUACUUUUGCUAUUCUAUUAAAUUACUAGCACCUUAAUCAUUUUUUUACCAAUGUCCUUAAAAGAUAAAUUAGUUUUGUAAUCAAUCUGAAUUACUACAUUUAUAUUGAUUUCUGAAUUACAUCACUAGUACAAAUUUACUGCAUGGAAAAUAGCAAGUGUAUAAUAAAAUCAAACAUCAAAGAACUCAAGCUCUUUGUGCAAUUCAAGAAGAUGGAUAGAAAUCAACUAAUGAAGGACAAUUUGGCAUGCUGGGGUUCAAUCAAGAAGAGAUUGAAAAACUAAAAGGCUUCCUAAACACAAUACCCUCAUGUGUGUGUUCAAUGGCACAGUCAGGUGAGCGUCUCUUUUCUAAUAAUCCUGUUGGGAAUGCAGUGCCUUCUAAUACUUGGGUGGUAGAUUCAGGAGCAACUGAUCACAUGACAAACAACAAAAGUUGCUUUGAUUCUUAUGAAGCCAUUCUUGGGGCCAAACAAAUAAGUGUUGCCGAUGGUAAAUUUAUUAAUGUCACAGGCAGAGGAAAAGCUACCUUAACUCCUUCAUUAUCUCUUGAAAACAUUUUAUAUGUGCCUAAACUUUCCAAAAACCUCAUCUCAAUUCAUGAAGUAACCAAGUCCUUAAAUUGUCUUGCUAUUUUUGACUCUUCUCAUUGUGUUGUCCAGAACAGGGACUCAGUGAAGAUGAUUGGAUAUGCUAAGGAGAAGAAUAGGCUCUAUUAUCUUGAGGAAGCUAGUGGUUCUAAGGAAAUGAAUGCCAAGUUCUCAUUAAAUUGUUCCAUAUCUUCUUCAGCCCGAGAAUCCCCAUUUAUUUCUCAGAUUUGGCUUGAACAUCGCAGGCUAGGCCAUCCUCCUUUUCCACUGUUAAAAACAUUGCUUCAUUACUUCAUCAUGUUAAUGUCUCAUCUCUUAGGUGUGAUACCUGUGAGUUGGCUAAGCAUCAUAGGGUUUCUUUUCCAAUAAAUGAAAAACCAUAUUCUAAACCUUGCCCUUGAUUCAUACUGAUGUUUGGGGCCCUUCUAAAGUUCCUAACUUUAAUGGAGUUCGUUGGUUUGUUUCUUUUGUCGAUGAUUGUAAAAGGGUCACUCGGUUGUACCUCAUGAAAAAUAAAUUUGCAAUGAGUUAUGUCUUUCCAUUGUUUCGCAAAAUGAUCUUAAACCAGUUUGGAGUCUCUAUCAAAAGAUUAAGAUCCGAUAAUGGCAGAGCAUAUUUUAACCACAAUCUUACUUCCUUCUUUGCCAAAAUGGGUAUCCUUCAUGAAUCAUCUUUUGUUGACACACCCCAACAAAAUGGGUUAGCUGAGAGAAAGAAUCAUCAUCUCUUAGAAGUGACCUAUUCUUUGCUUUUCCAAAAUGCAAAUUCCAAAAUUCUUAUAGGGAGAAACAACUCUUACAGCUCAC
Molecule: long non-coding RNA, 2331 nt
Organism: Dioscorea cayenensis subsp. rotundata (Guinea yam)
Lineage: Eukaryota; Viridiplantae; Streptophyta; Magnoliopsida; Dioscoreales; Dioscoreaceae
Exons: 3
Source: RefSeq, a predicted model, not a curated record